This 494-nucleotide ribosomal RNA is filed under the name uncultured bacterium. RNAcentral describes it as "partial 16S ribosomal RNA". It matches the Rfam family "Bacterial small subunit ribosomal RNA", at positions 28 to 507 of the family's 1533-position model. The record is from RNAcentral.
GACGAACGCUGGCGGCGUGCUUAACACAUGCAAGUCGAACGGAAAGGCCUGCUUUCCCUGGUGGAUUGCGGGUACUCGAGUGGCGAAGGGGGGAGUAAAACGUGAGUGAUCUGCCCCCAACUUGGGUAAAAGCCUGGGAAACUGGGUCUAAUUCCCGAUAGGACUGCAGGGUGGUGCCGGUGGUGGAAAACGAUUUUCUAGUGGUUGGGGAUGAGCUCGCGGCCUAUCAGCUUGUUGGUGGGGUAAUGGCCUACCAAGGCGGCGACGGGUAGCCGGCCUGGGAGGGUGGACGGCCACAUUGGGACUGAGAUACGGCCCAGACUCCUACGGGAGGCAGCAGUGGGGAAUAUUGCACAAUGGGCGGAAGCCUGAUGCAGCGACGCCGCGUGGGGGAUGACGGCCUUCGGGUUGUAAACUCCUUUCGACCGCGAGGAAGCCACCUGGUUGGAAGGGUGGUGACGGUAGUGGUAGAAGAAGCACCGGCUAACUACGUG